AACGAACGCUGGCGGCAUGCUUAACACAUGCAAGUCGAACGAAACGUUCGGGUCUGGUGGCGCACGGGUUCGUAAAGGGGGGGAACAUGCGCUUAGGUUCGGCAUUACUCCUCGAAAUGGGUGCUAAUACCGGAGAAUAUUUCCGGACCAAAGAUUUAUCGGCUGUGGAUGGGGCCGCGUUGGAUUGGUUAGGGGGUAGGGUAAACGCUUACCAAGGCGACGAGCGGUAACUGGACUGAGAGGAGGAACAGUCACACUGGGACUGAGACCCGGCCCAGACUCCUGCGAGAGGCAGCAGAGGGGGAUAUAGGACAGUGAGCGAAAGGCUGAGCCAGCGAUGCCGCGUGAGUGAUGAAGGCGUUAGAGUUGUAAAGCUCUAUUACCCGGGAUGAUAAUGACGGUACCGGGAGAAUAAGCACCGGCUAACUACGUG
Molecule: ribosomal RNA, 433 nt
Filed under: uncultured bacterium
Lineage: Bacteria
Description: partial 16S ribosomal RNA
Rfam family: Bacterial small subunit ribosomal RNA
Source: RNAcentral